AAAGGAGACUGCCAGUGAUAAACUGGAGGAAGGUGGGGAUGACGUCAAGUCAUCAUGGCCCUUACGAGUAGGGCUACACACGUGCUACAAUGGCGCAUACAAAGAGAAGCGACCUCGCGAGAGCAAGCGGACCUCAUAAAGUGCGUCGUAGUCCGGAUUGGAGUCUGCAACUCGACUCCAUGAAGUCGGAAUCGCUAGUAAUCGUGGAUCAGAAUGCCACGGUGAAUACGUUCCCGGGCCUUGUACACACCGCCCGUCACACCAUGGGAGUGGGUUGCAAAAGAAGUAGGUAGCUUAACCUUCGGGAGGGCGCUUACCACUUUGUGAUUCAUGACUGGGGUGAAGUCGUAACAAGGUAACCGUAGGGGAACCUGCGGUUGGAUCACCUCCUU
This 392-nucleotide ribosomal RNA is filed under the name Enterobacter hormaechei. RNAcentral's name for it is "bacterial SSU rRNA". It matches the Rfam family "Bacterial small subunit ribosomal RNA", at positions 1141 to 1532 of the family's 1533-position model. RNAcentral also lists the same sequence under 1 other name. Lineage: Bacteria; Pseudomonadati; Pseudomonadota; Gammaproteobacteria; Enterobacterales; Enterobacteriaceae. The record is from RNAcentral.